RNAcentral lists this ribosomal RNA (1062 nucleotides) under Boreus brumalis. Its description in RNAcentral is "SSU rRNA". It matches the Rfam family "Eukaryotic small subunit ribosomal RNA", at positions 81 to 1100 of the family's 1831-position model. The record is from RNAcentral. Lineage: Eukaryota; Metazoa; Arthropoda; Insecta; Mecoptera; Boreidae.
GUGAAACCGCGAAUGGCUCAUUACAUCAGUUAUGGUUCCUUAGAUCGUACCCACAUUUACUUGGAUAACUGUGGUAAUUCUAGAGCUAAUACAUGCAAACAGAGUUUCGACCAGAGAUGGGAGAAAUGCUUUUAUUAGAUCAAAACCAAUCGGCGGCGGGCGCGCUCGCGCGCGCCUCGCGYGCGACUUGGUGACUCUGAAUAACUUUUGGCUGAUCGCACGGUCCAGUACCGGCGACGCAUCUUUCAAAUGUCUGCCUUAUCAACUGUCGAUGGUAGUUUCUGCGACUACCAUGGUUGUUACGGGUAACGGGGAAUCAGGGUUCGAUUCCGGAGAGGGAGCCUGAGAAACGGCUACCACAUCCAAGGAAGGCAGCAGGCGCGCAAAUUACCCACUCCCGGCACGGGGAGGUAGUGACGAAAAAUAACGAUACGGGACUCAUCCGAGGCCCCGUAAUCGGAAUGAGUACACUUUAAAUCCUUUAACGAGGAUCAAUUGGAGGGCAAGUCUGGUGCCAGCAGCCGCGGUAAUUCCAGCUCCAAUAGCGUAUAUUAAAGUUGUUGCGGUUAAAAAGCUCGUAGUUGAAUCUGUGUCCCGCGCUGUCGGUUCGCCGCUCGCGUGUUCAACUGGCAUGUCUCGCGGACGUCCUGCCGGUGGGCUCAGCCGUCAAAAAUCCUACCGCGGUGCCUCUUCACCGAGUGUCGNGUGGGCCGGUACGUUUAGCUUUGACAAAUUAGAGUGCUUAAAGCAGGCUAAAUUUAUUCCUGAAUAUUGUGUGCAUGGGAUAAUGGAAUAGGACCUCGGUUCUAUUUUGUUGGUUUUCGGAACUCCGAGGUAAUGAUUAAUAGGGACAACUGGGGGCAUUCGUAUUGCGACGUUAGAGGUGAAAUUCUUGGAUCGUCGCAAGACGGACAGAAGCGAAAGCAUUUGCCAAAUGUGUUUUCAUCAAUCAAGAACGAAAGUUAGAGGUUCGAAGGCGAUCAGAUACCGCCCUAGUUCUAACCAUAAACGAUGCCAGCUAGCGAUCCGCCGAAGUUCCUCCGAUGACUCGGCGGGCAGCUU